Vidua macroura (Pin-tailed whydah) is the source of this 447-nucleotide long non-coding RNA. RefSeq lists it as uncharacterized. The record is from RefSeq and is a predicted model, not a curated record. NCBI's taxonomy places the organism in Eukaryota, Metazoa, Chordata, Aves, Passeriformes, Viduidae. The transcript is spliced from 3 exons.
CUGAUACAGCUCCACAAGCACAGAGUUAGUGUAAGCAGUCCCCUGGAAAGGAGGAAGAACAGUACCUGUGAGCUGUUCUGUAAAAUGUGAAAUAAGAAAACUGAGACGUGUAAUAGAAGAGAAAAAUAUCACAAUGUAGGAGUUUGCCUACUUGAAAAAUUUGUAUUGGUAUGUUCCAAGGAUUGCAGUGUGUACCAGGCACAAGAAUGAGGAACUCUUUAGAAUUCUAGUUUAGCAUUUGACCCAAAUAUUUAACAACAAAACUGAGUUUCUUCACUGAGGUAAAUUAAAUUUUACUAAACACAUGGACUGUAAAAUUGCUUUCUUUGUUUCUUUCUUUCAUGUUAGCUUGAUAAAUUAAUCUCAUACUGCAAAAGUAACUCCAUUACAGGAGAUGAUCAGGAUGCAAACAUAAAUGUAUAGAAGUAAACUAUAAGCUUAAAACUG